Transfer RNA from Pan troglodytes (chimpanzee), 69 nucleotides. It matches the Rfam family "tRNA". From Rfam's summary of the family: Transfer RNA (tRNA) molecules are approximately 80 nucleotides in length. Lineage: Eukaryota; Metazoa; Chordata; Mammalia; Primates; Hominidae. The record is from Rfam.
CAUGACUUAGCUUAAUUAAAGUGAUUGAUUUGCAUUCAAUUGAUGCAGAAUACAGUUUUGCAGUCUUUA